CUCCGCCCACUUCUUCCCCGAAGUAGACCUGACUCCGCCCACUUCUUCCCCGAAGUAGACCUUCUACGACGAUAAGUUGACUCACUGUACAAGAUCUUUCCCCCUUCACUCUAAUGCAGGGUGGGAGAUGCAACAAUGGCCUUGAGAACAGCAGGAAGUGUGUUGGGGGUCUUUGUCUGGUCUGUAGCAGGUAUGGUCUCAUUCAUAA
Molecule: non-coding RNA, 208 nt
Organism: Oncorhynchus mykiss (rainbow trout)
Lineage: Eukaryota; Metazoa; Chordata; Actinopteri; Salmoniformes; Salmonidae
Source: RefSeq, a predicted model, not a curated record